CAUUCUGGUUUCUCUUCAGAUCGUAUAAAUCUUUCGCCUUCUCCUAAAGAUUUACGUGGAGAGGAAUAGGCAAAAAAUUUUCACAAACUUG
Molecule: small nuclear RNA, 91 nt
Filed under: Calidris pygmaea (Spoon-billed sandpiper)
Lineage: Eukaryota; Metazoa; Chordata; Aves; Charadriiformes; Scolopacidae
Description: U5 spliceosomal RNA (ENSCPGG00000012116.1)
Rfam family: U5 spliceosomal RNA
About the family: U5 RNA is a component of both types of known spliceosome. The precise function of this molecule is unknown, though it is known that the 5' loop is required for splice site selection and p220 binding, and that both the 3' stem-loop and the Sm site are important for Sm protein binding and cap methylation.
Source: RNAcentral